RNAcentral lists this small RNA (269 nucleotides) under Vigna angularis var. angularis. RNAcentral's name for it is "Non-protein coding transcript". The record is from RNAcentral. Lineage: Eukaryota; Viridiplantae; Streptophyta; Magnoliopsida; Fabales; Fabaceae.
UCCAGCAUUCACUUGCCAUCUUGACUCCUGUUCAUAGUCACAGUUCACAGUUCAGCAUCUUCUUCUCCACUUCUCGACUUCCACUUUUUCGCGAUUCGUUAGGGAGUGUGCGACGGUGUUCUUCGUUCGUCUUUGGCCUCUCGCCGAGCUCAUUUUAAUGGACAAAUCAUGGAUAGACAUGCCUCGAAAUACAAGUCAAUAUAUGGCAGGAUUGAAUACUUUUUUGGACUUCGCAUUCAGUAAUAGUGGUGUUAGGGGAAAGAUAAUAU